Molecule: non-coding RNA, 1139 nt
Organism: Ictidomys tridecemlineatus (thirteen-lined ground squirrel)
Lineage: Eukaryota; Metazoa; Chordata; Mammalia; Rodentia; Sciuridae
Source: RefSeq, a predicted model, not a curated record
UGUAAAUCCUCACUCCUGUAGUGAGCAACCUGGCCCCUAUAACCCACCAUUGACUUAUUUGAUCAAACCCAGCAUGUGCGUGUGAAGUAGUUUCAGGUUUGUUACCCAUAGGCAGUGGGAAACAACUUCUCCUAGCAGUGUCAUGUAGAGCUCCAUUUGUCUUUGGUUUGAUGGUUCCAGUCAUUUGAAGGCUUCUAAGUGCGGAGUCCUAGUGGUUGUUUACAUCAACGAUGGCUGAGAAGACUGCCCAGGUUCAACGAGUGACAAAUCAUUACUGACUGUACAAUGUAAUUAAAAAAAACACAGGCAUUGAUUAGCAAUGAGCUAAACCUGAGACCAAAAAGUGAGAGACCUAGAAUAGCUGGCAGAACUUCUCAUUGGAUCUGUCUGAAAUGGAAGAUGUUUGCCCCUGCAGGCAUGGCGUGACGCCCAUUGUGCAUUUCCAUUAGAGACCCGCACUGAAUCUGAACAUGCCAUUGAUGUUGGCCUAUUUAUGAAAGGCUGUUGAAAGAGAUUUCAGAGCUAAUUGAAAAGAGAUGUUUCUGAACUGCAGUCACUUCAAACAACAUGGCUCCAAAAUCUGUUCCAAUCAUUUGGAAAUUGGUGUGUUUCUAUAAUUUGCACAUAAAAUUAAAUGAAUGAUUUGAAAUGAAUACUUCAUCCUCAUUUGGUAAGACUUUGUUCUUUAAGAACAUUAUUAAUUGGACAGUCAGCUGAGUUUACUUAAACAGUUCCUGCACACAUCUAUCUGUGUUUCUAUUAUGUCGUCAAUGCCUGUUUUGGGGGAUGUCAACUGCAGUUGCCCAGAUCUACCUUGUCUAGAGACAAAGCACAUAAUUUGAACAGGAUACUGUUAACUAGUAUUCAGUUAAACUUUGUAUCUUCUAGGAAAUAAUAUAUUUUUUUAAAUGCCUACUUUGCAAAAGAAAAAAGUAACAAUAACCAAACAACAACUAUACAUUCUUCCACAAGAUUUUUCUGAACAUGAAAAACUUGAGGGCAAGCUGAACCUCAACAAUACUGAAAAUUGAGUGAAUUUAUGAGAACAGAAUGCAAACAUUAUUAUUAAAAAAUGUUAUCCUCCAGGCAGUUUUCAAUCAAGAUGUGAAAGCAUUAAUAAACAUUGAUUUCUCCCCUAA